RNAcentral lists this ribosomal RNA (469 nucleotides) under uncultured bacterium. RNAcentral's name for it is "partial 16S ribosomal RNA". It matches the Rfam family "Bacterial small subunit ribosomal RNA", at positions 28 to 507 of the family's 1533-position model. The record is from RNAcentral.
GACGAACGCUGGCGGCGUGCUUAACACAUGCAAGUCGAACGGUGAAGCGAGUGCUUGCACUCGUGGAUCAGUGGCGAACGGGUGAGUAACACGUGAGUAACCUGCCCAUCACUCUGGGAUAAGCACUGGAAACGGUGUCUAAUACUGGAUACGACCAACCCUUGCAUGGGGUGUUGGUGGAAAGAUUUAUCUGUGAUGGAUGGACUCGCGGCCUAUCAGCUUGUUGGCGGGGUAAUGGCCCACCAAGGCGACGACGGGUAGCCGGCCUGAGAGGGUGACCGGCCACACUGGGACUGAGACACGGCCCAGACUCCUACGGGAGGCAGCAGUGGGGAAUAUUGCACAAUGGGCGAAAGCCUGAUGCAGCGACGCCGCGUGAGGGAUGACGGCCUUCGGGUUGUAAACCUCUUUCAGCAGGGAAGAAGCGAAAGUGACGGUACCUGCAGAAGAAGCACCGGCUAACUACGUG